This 369-nucleotide long non-coding RNA is filed under the name Gallus gallus (chicken). Lineage: Eukaryota; Metazoa; Chordata; Aves; Galliformes; Phasianidae. The record is from RNAcentral.
CCUUCACCCCCCCCCAGGAGGACUCUGAGGACAGCGACACCGAUGUGGAGGAGGAGACCUCAAACCCCCCCCCGGCGCGACCCCCCCUCAAUUUCACCAGAUUUUGGGGCAAUUUGGGCCAAUUUUGGGCAAUCUCACAUCGACUGAGCGUGAGGACAGCACUGAGACCCCCCCCUCCCCCUCACUGCCCCCAAAGCACAGUGUGUGUGUGUCGGGGGGGACGACUGUCCCUCUCUGUAUGCUUUGUCCCCUUUUUUUUUGGGGGGGGGGAGGGGAGAAGUGGGGGGCUGGCUUUUAGGGGCUGUUGCCGACUUUUAACCAUUCUGGGUUUUUUUUUUUAUGGGGCUCCAAUAAACGUUCCCAUUUCCA